UAUCUUUGCGGCUUGGUAGAACGUCUGCCAUGUACAUGAUAUUCAUUGAAACAAUUUUGGAAUG
Croceibacter atlanticus HTCC2559 is the source of this 64-nucleotide regulatory RNA element. It matches the Rfam family "S15-Flavobacteria ribosomal protein leader". Lineage: Bacteria; Pseudomonadati; Bacteroidota; Flavobacteriia; Flavobacteriales; Flavobacteriaceae. The record is from Rfam.